UGCCCUAAGCGGCUGAGAGGCAGGGCCCCACCCCGGCGCGAGGCCGGGCAGACCCGGCACGCCAGGGCCGGCUCACCACAGGCCGCGCGGAGCCUGGCCGCACUCAAACGCGCGGGGCAGUUCCGGCAGCUGGCGCGGGCCCGGCCCCUCAGCCCCGCCCCGGCACCAGGCGCACGUGGGCCCCAAGCGGCUCCGUGGGGGGUUGCUCGCGCCCCUCACUUACCGGCCGCUACAGAGCGAGGCCCCGGUAGCCCCGCCCCCUGCAACGUCCAGUCGCGUCCCCGGCCUAGGCCGGCCUGUGCGACUGCGCAGCUUCCGGCACGUGGGAAGCAGCGGCCCCUGGGGAGCGAGGGGGCAAGGUCAGGCGCAGUUAAGCCGGGGGAUGCGUGGGGCACGGUCACGUGCAGCUCCGAGUGCGUGACGUCACAAACCACGCCCCCAUGGGGGUCAUACGCCUCUUCCCGCCGCAGCAGGGCAGUGACCGGAGGUCCCUGCUCCUCCUCCGGGAGAGCGACCGAGACACGGACCAAUCCCCCCCCGCCGCGGGAAGGGACAGACCGACACCCAGCCACGGGGGACAGAGAUCCUGCUCCCCCCUGAGCACAGCUGGGCGGGGAGGACACGGGGGAAAUCCACCCGCGCCUGGAGCAGGGAGCGAACCGCUCCCCUUCUCCCCGCUGCACAGUUCAGUGAGCUGUAAGAUGAGCUGUUUCCCUAAUUGCAAUACAUUGACUCUACCAUUUGGAGGAGCCUGUGCCACAGAAUGAUAAACUGAAGUUAUCAGGCAAAGAAGAGUCUUCACUUGUGAAACAGUCGGAACACAACCCAGAGGUCCUUGGUCAGUUCAGGUAAAUGCUAGAUCCUGAUUAGAUUUAUUAUGUUUUUAGCAUAUUAAAGUUUAACAUGAGUUAGUGUGACUUUUGGGGCUUUGUGCUGGUUAGUUGAACACCAACUAUUCUUCAAAUGAAGUGCCACUCACAUUUUGUCAGUAGAAUGCAUAGGAAAUUGUAGCAUUAGAAAAUUAGUUCAGCGACACUUCAAGCCAUCACGCUUUUUGAAAGAGAUGGAGUUUAUCAUCUUUUUGUAAUGAGACAAUUCUGCUUUUUGGUAAGUCUAUUCAGUGUUUUCCUAUCUGCUUUUUUCAUUUCUCUUUACUGUGGCAGCUCCUAUGCAUCUGUCUUUCUGAGUCAUUAGACUCAAUUCUGUUGUUAAAAAAACAAACAUAAAGUUUCCAUAACUUGGAAAGUUGCAGAAGCCCUGAGAAAAAAUCUGCUUCUGCAGCUUUCUGUGACAUGGAAGCCAGACAGGUUUUAUGCUUAAAAGGAUCCUUACAUUUUUAGAUAAUAGUGUUGGGUCAUAGUUUCUGUACAUCAAAUGGAACUAUAUUUCCAUAAUAGUAAUCUUGAUUUGAUGUUUUCCAUAAUGGCGGCUAAUUGCUUUUACACUGCAAAUAUUGCCAUUAACCUGUGUGGGUACUAUACUUAGUUUAAAUCUGCACAAAUAAAUGUUAUUUUACUCUUCUGUUACUAAGUCUU
RNAcentral lists this long non-coding RNA (1535 nucleotides) under Chrysemys picta bellii (western painted turtle). RNAcentral describes it as "lncRNA (ENSCPBG00000020429.1)". The record is from RNAcentral. Lineage: Eukaryota; Metazoa; Chordata; Testudines; Emydidae.